This 250-nucleotide ribosomal RNA is filed under the name uncultured bacterium. RNAcentral's name for it is "partial 16S ribosomal RNA". It matches the Rfam family "Bacterial small subunit ribosomal RNA", at positions 525 to 775 of the family's 1533-position model. The record is from RNAcentral.
ACGUAGGGGGCAAGCGUUAUCCGGAUUUAUUGGGCGUAAAGCGUGUGUAGGCGGUUUGUUAAGUUUAAGAUUAAAGCCUGGGGCUCAACUCCAGUUCGUCUUAAAAACUGGCAGACUAGAGUACGGUAGAGGCAAACGGAAUUUCUAGUGUAGCGGUGAAAUGCGUAGAUAUUAGAAGGAACACCAGUGGCGAAAGCGGUUUGCUGGGCCGUUACUGACGCUGAGGCACGAAAGCGUGGGGAGCAAAUAG